GAGUUAUACCAACUUAAUUCAUUAAAAAAUAAAGUUUAAUUUUUUAAACAUAAAUAGUCAUUUAAAAUGAAAUACAAUAAAUAAAGAUAAAAUUUUUAAGUCUUUUAUAAAAUAAAGCACAAAUAUAUGAAAAUGUGACAUGUACUAAAUAUUUGUUAAUUGAAAAAAAACAAAAAUAAACCCGCGCUUUGAAAGCGCGGAUCAAAAUCUAGUACUUAAGUUAAAACUCAAUCAGGCCCAAGGUCCAUUACAAUAAGUUUUUUGAGCACUCUUUAGGCCAAGGCAUCAGCCUUUUCGUUGUUCUUAAGAAGAAUAUGAAAAAAGAAGACAAAACACAAAACUUGAAGAAAGUUCAUGGACAUCUUGAUGAUUCCCACGAUUUCCUUAAUAGUCUAACCGGUAACCAUCACAUAAACAUUGGAAACGGAUAUGAAAUAAACAGAAAGGAAUAAAAUUAUAGGAAAAAUAAGAGAUAAUGAUUCCUUAUCAUAUUUAGUGAGGAACAAAUUUGUUUUAUAUUUCUCUACAAUAAAAAGAACAAGUAAGAUUGAUCAAAAAAAAAAAAAAAGAACAAGCAAGAAAGAAAAGGAAAAAUUAUUCUUUAUGAAUGGUAAAAUUUCUUAGGAAUAUUAAGUAAUGCAUUGUUCCACUUCACAAAUCAUAUCUAUAUUUGUGGAUUCAAAGACAGAAGUGAGUAAUAAUUUAAGAUUUUUUAGAGAUCCGAUUUUUUCACCGAAUUUCGUCAAUUCGCCACGCUUGAAGACCGGUCGGAUACAGCUUUUCCCGCAAAUUAGGUGGCGCAUUUUAGAAAAGGGAUCUAAUCUAAAUUUUGGAAAUCCAUAUUUAAGAAUCCAAAUUGAUUAGAAAAUUAAUUUUAAAACACACUCACUAAACUCUCAGUAUCUAUACUAUACUAAAAGCAAGAUAACAAGCCCUCUAAGCUAUGCCACAUCAGAUGGAAAAUUCAACCAAUGAAAGAAUAGAAUGCUGCCAUGUCGUAAUAUCUUUGUUGACUGAAAAGAGGAUACUUGGCCUUCCGUGUGGUCUUCAUAAAAUAAAUCAUGGCCCAGGUCAAGCCCAACUUCCCAAAACCUCAUCUCAUCGAUCAAUCCGUCUCUUCCAGUUCGUCUUCAACGUCUCUGUUACUUUCACCCACUCCGGAUCAACCAAUUAGAUCCCUCAAAUCAGCCAUGUCAUUUAGGUGAGCUAAACAUUUUCAGUUUGAUUGCUGAAACGAUUCCUCUUUUUUACUCUACAAAACAUAUUUUAAAUAAAUCUCUUAUUUUUCUUGGCCAAACAAUGAUUAUAUUAAUCAGAACUUAUUCCUUUCUGGGAAUAAUUUUGCAGAGACGAACUGCCUUCCAAACAAACGUAAUAAUUCAGCUUCUCCUUUCUACCCAACCUAGCUAUAUGAACUGAUGGAUGAUUAUCCAGCCGGAUUCAACAUGCAACCAGUGCUCAAAACUGGCCUCAAGCGUCUAUUUGAUCAUCGGCCGUUUACUAAUGUAGUUGUUCAAUUUCUGAGAAACCUUUCCUCGAUGCGAUGGAUCGGAGUACGAGCCAAUUUUCGUUUGUUUAGCGAAGAUUGUUCAGAACUUCGUAGAGGAGAACACCCGGAUAGGCAAACCAAAUAUGGCCGCUACCGCUGCAGUUGGUUCAUCUCAAAUAUGAUUUUCGACACUGGUACUCCCUGUGAUGCAUCCGAUCAUACCUUUUACUCUAGCCUCUUGCUCUCUCUCUCUCUCUCUCUCUCUCUCUCUCUCUCUCUCUCUUGAGUAGUAUAUUAUCCAAAUUGUAAUCUCUAUCUUAUCAGAUUUUGAUUCCAUGCGCGAGCAUCACCGAGAGGAACAUCGUAGCCGACGCGUCUAAGAUUGUAGAGAAGAACAGAUCAGUGAAAUGAAAAGAGGAUAUGAGGAAUAUCAUUAAAGAGUGACUCUUAUCUCUAAACUAUGAUUCUUAAGUCUGCAAGUUGUAAUGGGAAAAGUCUCCUUCUUUCCAAGCUGGUAACAUUUCUUUUCUCAAACCUACUCUUCACCAAAUCUAUGUGACUGAUGAACUAGCACUUGCUAAUUUCAGAUGAAUGAGUACAAGUUUGUUUGACUUAAUGUAUCUUUCGAGUAGAAUUGUGCUUUAGAGUCAUGUGUAUGCUUCACAUUUGUUUCCCUCUUGAAAUAUUUUCAUAGAGUAGUUUUUUUAUUGCGAAAACUCAUUUGUGUUAAAGAAUUGUACAUGUCUAUUGGGUUUUAGGUAAGUGACAAGUUAUUAUAGGGAUAUAUCACACUCUCUUUGUGCAUGAUUGUCUUUCUUUGGUUUAGAGAUACAAUACUACCACUGGCUGUUUUCAUCCAGCUGUCUUACCUUUGGAGUUUUUUCUUUAUAUGUUGGAGUUAGCAUACUCUAUCUCGGUUCCAUGGAAAUUCUAUUAAUGUAAGUUGUGCCUAUCAUGUGUGAAUUAAAAUCUCUGUUUGUAUUUUAAGUUUGAGCUAACAGUUGUCUGCUCCAUAAGUUUUUAAUAGGUGUGUAUCCUAAAUAAUUUUCACUGUGUCCAAAAGCUUCCAGAACAUGUUGUUGUUUCUCUCAUUUGCAGGGAUCAAUUCCUUAUAUCAUGUUUUUGAACAUUACUGUGAACGAUUAGUUUGACCUACUUCCAUUAACUUCUUAGCAAUCAUGAAUAUGUUAGUAUCCCCUGUUGUAGAUAUGGGCUUCCACUGAAGGUGAAAACUUGGGAGUGACAUACACUUAAAUGUUAUCCUCUCAUUGGGUUUUAUAUAUAUGCAUAAUGUAACUAAUGAGUUUUCACCAGCUAAUUGGAUAUAGGGUGCUGGCUCUCUGUUGCGUGCAUGAUGCAGAAGCCAAGCUGGUCCUGCUAUGUUCCUGCUACGUUCCUGCUACGAAAACUGAUAAACCAUUCAGUACCUCACCUGGUUGGGAGGCAAAGAAUCUGCGAAGCUGAUAGAAAAGGAAUUAACAAGAGUGUAAAACCAAGCUAAUAAACUUAAUUUACACAGUCAUGACAUCAUUGUUUACAGUUAUGUUCGUGUACUCAUUGUUUUUUCUUUUAUAUUCAUUUCUUUUUAGUAAUUAAAACAAUUAAGAUAGACAGACCAGAUCUUAACUAAAGGUAUUGUUAUACUGGUUUUAGAUGACUCUAGCUUUCUACCUUUCCAUUUGGUUGAGUGUUUUGUUCUGAGAACAACGACAUUUGUUCUGAAGUUUUAAUCAUCACUUAUUAAACCAUUUACUGGAUAUUGUGUGAAAAGCAGGGAACAAGUUUACAGUUUACUACUUCAAAGGCUCACGUUAAUAGUUUAUAGGAUUGGCCUAGAUAGUAAAGUUUUUUUUUUUUUUUUGGGAUACCAUGAUAACUGCUUUAAGCAUCAUGGCCAACAUAUGUAAAAUCAUAACUAAUUUAGUGGAACAUAUCCUUCAAUAUACAGUAAAUCCAUUCGGUUAUCAAUCAACAUGAGAAAGAAAAACCCAUAAGUAGCUCAAAAUAUUUAUGUUUGUUUUUGUUGCACCGUUCAGACUUUGUCUUAAUUUCCUAAAUAAAUAUUUCUUUUAUAUUGACGAAUAAGUGGAACUAAAAGUUAUUUUUACCAGAAUAUGAUUCAUAAGAAAAAAAAAUUAAUAGAGGAUUUGUCAACGCAAAUAAAAUAAUAAAAAAUCAUUAAGACAAAUUCCAGUUGAACUUAGAUUUGAUGAUGUAGUAGCAAAUUUUAAUACAAUAAUAAGUAAACAAACAUUGUUCAUUAAGUGAUAUUAAUUAAAAAAAAUCAUUUUAGAAGAAUAACUUUGUGUACUAUAUAGUAACACUUGAGACAAUCUACAAUAGUUUUUGAUUAAUGUUAGUGUUUCAGGAUAUAAUUUUGGCACAUUAGUUUUAUGUACUUCAUAUCUAAUUGUUAUUAUCAUGUGUAAGGUUAUUUUUCACACCAACAUUAAAAAUAUGUUAGUUUCUCAGGACUUUUUAUUAAAAGAUAUGUGGAUGUGGAUUAUUAACUAUACAAUUAACAAACACAAUAACUUAUAUAAAUAGCAAUUAAAUAAUAUAUAUUGUUUUUAAUUUAUACAUUAAAUAUAUUAAUUUAAUAACUACAUAAAUUUAUUUGGUAAAACAUAACUUUAAUUUUAGUAAGGUAGGUUUUUAAAAUACAUGCUAAAAAAAUAAUCUAAAACAUAUGUAAGAAAAGAACACAAUAAGAAAAAACACAUAAUAUAAAAAUAAUCAUAUAUAAAUACAUUACAAUUCAGAACUGUAUUAAAAUAAAAUAUAAAUAUAAUUCGCAUGUAGCAAAAACGAUGCCAAGGUUUCAAGUAGUGUAUUCAACAUCUAUUUCGCUUUCCAUCGUCUCAUUUAUAUAUAAAACAUUUUGGCAUAUCAAAUAACUAUACGCAAUGUUAUUUUACCAAACAAAAUUUAUAUAACUAUUUAGCGAUGUUGAUUCCUUUUUACAAAAAAAAAAACUAUUUAGCGAUGUCAAAAACUAAAAAAAAAUAACUAUUUAACAGAAAGGUUAGUUAUCAUCUUAAAAUCAGUCAAUAUUUUAUUUCGGGUAAGUUAAUAAAAGUUAUUUGAAGCUUCAAGAAAAAUAGUAUGAAACAACUUUAUACGUAUAUGUUUGCCAACAAAAAAAAUAUUUAUAAUAGAUUUCAAUUUGCCAUUUCAGCAAGUUUAUUUUUAGAAUUUAAAAAAUUAUUACAUGAAUCUAUACAGGGCCGUGCCUGACUUUUUUGGGCCCCCAAGCACAAAAUAUAUUUUUGGCCCUUUAAUUAUUUAUUAUGAAAAAACAUUAAAAAUUAUGGAGCAAAGAAUCGAACCCCCAAUCCUUUGUAGGAAAAAAUUGAACAUAGGCCAGUAGAACUAACUAGAUUUUGUUAAAAAAAUUGGCCCUUAAAAUACUUAUACAUAUCAAGGCCCCAAGCAUGUGCUUGAUCAGCCUAUAGUCAGGCACGGCCCUGAAUCUAUAUAUAAAAUAUUUUGUAAAUGUGGAUACAUUUGCUUAACUAAACGAAACAAAACAAAACUAAAUUCAUAAAUAUCCAAAUAAAUCAUAUAUUUCUAGAACCAAAAAAAAAAACUGAGCCGAAACCAAAAC
This is a long non-coding RNA of Brassica rapa (field mustard), 5096 nucleotides long. RefSeq lists it as uncharacterized. The record is from RefSeq and is a predicted model, not a curated record. Lineage: Eukaryota; Viridiplantae; Streptophyta; Magnoliopsida; Brassicales; Brassicaceae.